AAUAAACGCUGGCGGCGUGCUUAACACAUGCAAGUCGAACGAGAAAGUUCUUCGGAACGAGUAAAGUGGCGAACGGGUGCGUAACACGUAGGAAUCUACCCUUUAGUGAAGGAUAACACCGAGAAAUCGGUGCUAAUACUGCAUAAGUCUCUACGGAGAGAAAGAUGGCCUCUUGCUAUCGCUAAAGGAUGAGCCUGCGGACUAUUAGUUAGUUGGUAGGGUAAUGGCCUACCAAGACGAUGAUGGUUAGCCGACCUGAGAGGGUGUACGGCCACACUGGGACUGAGAUACGGCCCAGACUCCUACGGGUGGCAG
RNAcentral lists this ribosomal RNA (315 nucleotides) under uncultured bacterium. Its description in RNAcentral is "bacterial SSU rRNA". It matches the Rfam family "Bacterial small subunit ribosomal RNA", at positions 29 to 351 of the family's 1533-position model. The record is from RNAcentral.